AAAAAAUGUCUUUUUGCUUUGUAUCCGUAAAAAAGACAAAUUUCAGUGUUUCUAAAUAGUGUUUUACGACACAAUUUUUUGUCUUGUUUGCACAGGCCACAAAAAGAGUUAUUUUACUGUGAAACUUUAUGGACACACAUAGAAUAUGAAGACGUACCGGUGCAACCUUUUUCAGACUUUUUAACAUUCAGAAAUGUGUUUUUUAAAGUGGGUUCAUAUGUACCCGGUUCAUCCAUGCACUUUCCAUCUCGGAGGGCUCCAAACAGUUUAGAUCUUUUAGUAUCAAUGUGUGAAACUAGACAGUACUCUCGGAGUACUAACUGGUCUGUCAAUCAUCAUAUUGGCUAGCUUUUUCUCAGUGGUGCUCUCACUUGUUUUCCCGCAGAUGCUGUCUGAACCUGAUCUGUGAUUGCACGCGUGCUCUGUCUCAGAAAGGAGGAUGUGAAGACUCUGCAAGUAGAGCUGCAUAGAACAAGAGAGCAAUGCCAUGCAGGGUGGUCAAAAUGUCAAGCCAAGUUUGGCAUUAGCACUGCACAGCAUAUGUUGUGCUAUCUACAGAAGAAUUGGUGCAGAAAAAAGAUUAGGCCUUAGUGCCAUGAUGGGGCCGUGUGCUAAAUUAUUGCAGAGAAGCUUGAUUAAUGAUGAGGUUGAUGCUAUGCCUACCUAGAUCACAUAUAUUUAUAAAUUGUUAUUUGCCUUGUUCAUGAUAGCAGAGCUGCUGGCUUGUAGGGUGAUAGCAAAUCAAAUCUGGAUAGAUCUUUGGUGGUGCUGAAUUAGUACAUAUGACAAAAUUUGUCUAGUCUGGAUGUCUGAAUCUGCCUACAAAAUUAUGGCAAAAUCUGUCUAAUCUGCGUGUCUGAAUCUCGCCAGGUCGGCCAUGUACUUGGUUACUUUACCUUAUGCCUAAUGAAAUAGUAGAUCAGUAUUCUAAUAAUAUGUCAACAGUUUUUUUCUUGGUUUGGACUUUGGAGUAACACUUGAACUAGUAGUCACUGGUUUCCUCUGCUUGAUAUUCCAUCUUUUUUGAGACUGCAAAUAGCAUGCCAAACUGGAGCAGCACUGCCUCCCUGCAAACAGAGAGAAAAAUUGCAGCUACGCAAGCUUAGUUGCACCCCUGAAUCUCCUGGCAAACACUGAACUUGUUUUUUCAGACGAACAGAACUCCAAUAAUUAGUCGAUUCAUUUCUUACUGCUCUGCAGUGCCAUGUAAUAGCACAAACAUUUCCUGAGCACAAGAAAACAUC
This 1244-nucleotide ribosomal RNA is filed under the name Triticum aestivum (bread wheat). RNAcentral's name for it is "partial small subunit ribosomal RNA". The record is from RNAcentral. Lineage: Eukaryota; Viridiplantae; Streptophyta; Magnoliopsida; Poales; Poaceae.